This is an unclassified non-coding RNA of Callithrix jacchus (white-tufted-ear marmoset), 300 nucleotides long. It matches the Rfam family "Metazoan signal recognition particle RNA". From Rfam's summary of the family: The signal recognition particle (SRP) is a universally conserved ribonucleoprotein. It is involved in the co-translational targeting of proteins to membranes. NCBI's taxonomy places the organism in Eukaryota, Metazoa, Chordata, Mammalia, Primates, Cebidae. The record is from Ensembl.
ACCAGGUGUCAUGGUGCGUGCCUGUAGUCCCAACUACUCAGGAGGCUGAAGUGGGAGGAUGUCCUGAGGCCAGGGGUUCUGGGCUGUACUGCGCUAUGCCAAUCGGGUGGCCGCACUAAGUUCGGCAUCAAUAUGGUGACCUCCUGGGAGAAGGGGACCACCAGGUUGACUAAGCAGGGGUGAACUGGCCCAGGUCAGAAACAGAGCAGGUCAAAACUCCCGUGCUGAUCAGUAGUGGGAUCACACCUGUGAAUAGCGACUGCACUCCAGCCUGGGCAACACAGCGAGACCCCAUUUCUA